RNAcentral lists this ribosomal RNA (773 nucleotides) under uncultured eukaryote. Its description in RNAcentral is "bacterial SSU rRNA". It matches the Rfam family "Eukaryotic small subunit ribosomal RNA", at positions 1031 to 1827 of the family's 1831-position model. The record is from RNAcentral.
AGGUAACGAUGCCAACUAACAAUCCGCCAGUGUUAAAUGUAUGACUUGGCGGGAAGCUUCCGGAAAACCAAAGUUGGGUUCCGGGGGGAGUAUGGUUGCAAAGCUGAAACUUAAAGGAAUUGACGGAAGGGCACCACCAGGAGUGGAGCCUGCGGCUUAAUUUGACUCAACACGGGGAAACUCACCCGGCCCGAACACCGUAAGGAUUGACAGAUUGAGAGCUCUUUCUUGAUUCGGUGGGUGGUGGUGCAUGGCCGUUCUUAGUUGGUGGAGCGAUUUGUCUGGUUAAUUCCGAUAACGAACGAGACUCUAGCCUACUAAAUAGGUACUUCAUUUUUCUGUGAAGUAAACUUCUUAGAGGGACAAGCGGCGUCUAGCCGCACGAGAUUGAGCAAUAACAGGUCUGUGAUGCCCUUAGAUGUUCGGGGCCGCACGCGCGCUACACUGAAGGAAUCAGCUAGUAUAUCAACCUUGUCCGGAAGGACUUGGUAACCUGCUGAAACUCCUUCUUGAUUGGGAUAGGGAAUUGCAAUUAUUUCCCUUGAACGAGGAAUUCCCAGUAAGUGCGGGUCAUCAGCUCGCGUUGAUUACGUCCCUGCCCUUUGUACACACCGCCCGUCGCUAUUACCGAUUGGAUGGUUCAGUGAGACAUGCAGACUUGCGUUGAGGCGGCUUCACGGCUGCCCCUUCUGCGGGAAAGCAUUUCUAGCUUGACCAUCUAGAGGAAAUAAAAGUCGUAACAAAGGUUUCCGUAGUGAACCUGCGGAAGGAUC